Molecule: ribosomal RNA, 253 nt
Filed under: uncultured bacterium
Lineage: Bacteria
Description: partial 16S ribosomal RNA
Rfam family: Bacterial small subunit ribosomal RNA
Source: RNAcentral
UACGAAGGGUGCAAGCGUUAAUCGGAAUUACUGGGCGUAAAGGGUGCGUAGGUGGUUUUUUAAGUCCGUUGUGAAAUCCCUGGGCUCAACCUGGGAAUGGCAGUGGAUACUGGAAAGCUAGAGUGCGGUAGAGGGUAGUGGAAUUCCCGGUGUAGCAGUGAAAUGCGUAGAGAUCGGGAGGAACACCAGUGGCGAAGGCGGCUACCUGGACCAGCACUGACACUGAGGCACGAAAGCGUGGGGAGCAAACAGG